AGCCUUUAGCAAAACAAGUAUUAAAGGUGAUGCCUGCCCAGUGAAAUUUAAACGGCCGCGGUAUCCUAACCGUGCAAAGGUAGCGUAAUCACUUGUCUUAUAAAUGAAGACCUGUAUGAAUGGCUAUAUGAGUAUUUAACUGUCUCCUUUAACCAAUCAGUGAAACUGAUCUCUCAGUACAAAAGCUGAGAUAAACACAUAAGACGAGAAGACCCCGUGGAGCUUUAAAUUUUUAACAACACACUACUUAAAUAUGUUUAUGAUAAAAAAUUUUUAGUUGGGGCGACUUUGGAGAAAAACUAAUCCUCCAAGAAAAGGUACCGCCUACUUUAGGCCUACAAGCCAAACUACAUAGACCCAGUAUUAAAUACUGAUCAACGAACCAAGUUACCCCAGGGAUAACAGCGCCAUCUUCUUCAAGAGUUCAUAUCGACAAGAAGGUUUACGACCUCGAUGUUGGAUCAGGACACCCAAAUGGUGUAGCCGCUAUUAAAGGUUCGUUUGUUCAACGAUUAAUAGUCCU
Molecule: ribosomal RNA, 523 nt
Filed under: Anolis oxylophus
Lineage: Eukaryota; Metazoa; Chordata; Lepidosauria; Squamata; Anolidae
Description: partial 16S ribosomal RNA
Rfam family: Bacterial large subunit ribosomal RNA
Source: RNAcentral